RNAcentral lists this ribosomal RNA (504 nucleotides) under Panorpa obliquifascia. RNAcentral describes it as "eukaryotic LSU rRNA". Lineage: Eukaryota; Metazoa; Arthropoda; Insecta; Mecoptera; Panorpidae. The record is from RNAcentral.
UAGUACGUGAAACCGUUCAGGGGUAAACCUGAGAAACCCGAAAGUUCGAAUGAAAAGAUUCAAUUUCUUACAUUUGGUCGACCAUUACUAUUUUAUGUGAUAAUUUUUAAUGACUUGUCAUUAAUAUUACACUAAUUUGUUUUGAGAUUUGGCUAUGUAGGUGAUGCACUUCUUUUCUAGUAGGACGUUGCAACCCAUUGGAUGUUAAUCUAAGGUCCCCUAUGGUAGCCUAUAAUAUAUAUAUUUCGGUAUAUGUGAUAUAGACCUUGGGUGUUUUGCCUGAUUAACUUGUUCGAUGGUAUAUCAUAAUAUUGGGUCGCCUAUAAUGGGCAUUCAAACUAUAUUCAAGUGUAUAUGGAUAAAAUUUUGGAUAUCAGACCUAGUGCUGUUACUAAAACCAUUAUACUGUUGGAAUUUAGUAUAUUGAAUAGAUCCUGUAUAUUGGUUAGCAACGCUUUUGCUUUGGGUACUUUCAGGACCCGUCUUGAAACCGGGAACCAAGGA